Molecule: ribosomal RNA, 450 nt
Filed under: Triticum aestivum (bread wheat)
Lineage: Eukaryota; Viridiplantae; Streptophyta; Magnoliopsida; Poales; Poaceae
Description: partial small subunit ribosomal RNA
Source: RNAcentral
AUGGAUGAGAAUAUUCCAGCAAGGGGUUACCCAAGGAGUUCCCGCAAAAUGGUUAGUUGCUUCCAUCACUACAAGAUUGAAAUGUUCAAUGAGGUGCUUGAUAGAAACAUGGUUGAGAUGAAUAACUGGUUUAGUGAAACUUCAACAAGGUUACUGAUAUGCAUUGCUAGUCCAUAUCCUAGAGUCUCAUUCAGUAGAUUUACUCAUGAGAACCAACUUGAGCUUGCAUCUAUGUACUCAGUCGACUUCGAUCCAGAAGAACAAUAUCAUUUGGAUGGCCAGCUCAAGAUAUACAUUGAUAUGAUGAAAAGGUCUCAUGUUUUUUGUGGAUGUGACAGUCUAGCUAAUCUUGCUCUCAAGUUGGUUGAAACUAAGGAACAUUACACUUCCUUUGGUUUAUCGGCUCAUCAAACUUGCUUUGACUUUGCCACUAAUGAUAGCAUCUGUUGA